Molecule: small RNA, 907 nt
Filed under: Histoplasma ohiense
Lineage: Eukaryota; Fungi; Ascomycota; Eurotiomycetes; Onygenales; Ajellomycetaceae
Description: hypothetical lncRNA
Source: RNAcentral
CAUGGUUCUUCUCCGAAACCGCCCAAGUUCGAAGCGCUCAGAAGCACUAUUUGAUAAGUGAUAUCACCCCCAACAAUAUAAAUAGAAUCAGCCCCGCAUGUUGAGGAAGAAGAUGUCUCGUAUUGGAUCAACGAGUCAGAAACACUCGGCAGAUAGAAUCAAUCAUAUCGAGACAAAGACAGCCUCGCCAGCAAAAAUAGCAAACGACGGUCCACUAUCGCGAACAGAUAACUUUAAUUCUAUUGCAGAGAAUGCACAUCCAAGUUACCGAGCGAAGGCUAGAGCAGAAAUCUUGCUGCACUCAUUGUACCGCCAGAUCAAUAUGUGUGCCCAAGUCCAAUUGCUGAGUGCCCGGUUCACUCGUUCGAGCCGGGAAGUACUGACGGACAAAACGAGAGAGAAGGACAUGCUGAGUCAGAAAUAUGCUGUGAAAGCACUGGGUUUGAUCAUGGAGGCCAAGGGCAAUAUGGUCGGAAGAAAGCGGCGGAAAUCUGUGAGAACUGCAUCUCAUCAGCGUACCAAGAGGCGCCAGAGGUCGGGGACACCCGAAAUACUCAAGACAGCAAAGAGACGCCUGACUCAUGCGUGGGAAUGUUUUAAAAGAGACCCAGAGGUGUUUUCAAUAUGCGCACGUUCAAUGGCAUUCAGGGCAGCUCUUUUGAAGGAGCCAGCACUGGUGUGGGACUCGUUCGAAAACCUUCUGAAGGAGAAUUUUGUUAGUAUCCUGGCAUUUGCUCAGACGAGGCGCCUAGACACCAAAGCAUUGCUUCCCCAUGACGGCCCUAUCCCGCACCCUAUACAGGCGGGAGGGAGGAGUGUAGGGACACUGCAUCCGCAUGAGGUUGUGGUCAACCUCAAAUGCCAGUAUCUAAAACGACCACGUUUCGAAAGUCAUUAUCAAAAGAAC